Herpailurus yagouaroundi (jaguarundi) is the source of this 111-nucleotide long non-coding RNA. RefSeq lists it as uncharacterized. The transcript has 3 exons. The record is from RefSeq and is a predicted model, not a curated record. NCBI's taxonomy places the organism in Eukaryota, Metazoa, Chordata, Mammalia, Carnivora, Felidae.
AAGUUACAUGAAAAGAAAAGAUUCCACUGAGCCAACAGAUAGCAGUGAUUCUGUUAGUGAUAAUGAAAGUCAUCCUGCACAAUAACCCUUCUCUCUUUUGUCUCCCUCAAA